This 529-nucleotide ribosomal RNA is filed under the name Alicella gigantea. RNAcentral's name for it is "12S ribosomal RNA". Lineage: Eukaryota; Metazoa; Arthropoda; Malacostraca; Amphipoda; Alicellidae. The record is from RNAcentral.
UUUGUGCCAGCAUCUGCGGUUAGACUUAUUUUACGUGUAUUCAUUUGUAGGUGUUAGGUAAAGUGAGGUUAAAUAUUUUUUGGUGGAAUAAGGACAAUAGUUUUUGUUAGUUCUGAUGAGUGUUAUUGUAAGACUAGGAUUAGAUACCCUAUUAUUUUAUUAUUUAGUUCUCCUAAUGAGUUUAAAAUUAAAAAAUUUGGCGGCCUGUUGUUUUUAGAGGAAUUUGCCUAUAAACGAUAAACCUCGUUGUGUCUUACUUACUUAUAUUUUGUAUACCGUUAUUUAGGUAAUUUUGGUAGAAUUAAUUUCCGUAAUAUUGUUUAGGAUGCUAAAUCAAGGUGCAGGGAUAUGUGAGUCGGAGUUAAUUACAAUAUUUAUUUAAUAGGCGGAUAGUUAAGCAAGAUUUUAUUUGAAGUUGGAUUUAAUUGUAAAAAUUAUAUUAGUGAAUAUAGCCCAAUAGGUGUACAAAUUGCCCGUCAUUCUCUUUGAGACAAGUCGAAACAAAGUAGAUUUAUCUGAAGAUGACUCU